Molecule: unclassified non-coding RNA, 378 nt
Filed under: plant metagenome
Description: partial contains 5.8S ribosomal RNA, internal transcribed spacer 2, and large subunit ribosomal RNA
Rfam family: 5.8S ribosomal RNA (bases 1-105)
Source: RNAcentral
GAAAUGCGAUAAGUAAUGUGAAUUGCAGAAUUCAGUGAAUCAUCGAAUCUUUGAACGCACCUUGCGCUCCUUGGUAUUCCUUGGAGCAUGCCUGUUUGAGUAUCAUGAAAUCUUCAAAGUAAAUCUUUUGUUAACUCAAUUGGUUUCUACUUUGGUAUUGGAGGUCUUUGCAGCUUCACACCUGCUCCUCUUUGUUCAUUAGCUGGAUCUCAGUGUUAUGCUUGGUUCCACUCGGCGUGAUAAGUUAUCUAUCGCUGAGGACACUGUAAAAGGUGGCCAAGGUAAAUGCAGAUGAACCGCUUCUAAUAGUCCAUUGACUUGGACAAUACUUUUAUGAUCUGAUCUCAAAUCAGGUAGGGAUACCCGCUGAACUUAAGC